GAUAGACGCUAGCGGCAGGCUUAACACAUGCAAGUCGAGGGGCAGCAUAGAUUGUAGCAAUACAAUUGGUGGCGACCGGCGCACGGGUGCGUAACGCGUAUGCAACCUACCCGUCACAGGGGGAUAAUCCGGAGAAAUCUGGUCUAAUACCCCAUAACAUAUGGAUCGGCAUCGGUUCAUGUUGAAAUUUUCGGAGGUGACGGAUGGGCAUGCGUAGCAUUAGCUUGUUGGUGAGGUAACGGCUCACCAAGGCGACGAUGCUUAGGGGGACUGAGAGGUUUUCCCCCCACACUGGCACUGAGACACGGACCAGACUCCUACGGGAGGCAGCAGUGAGGAAUAUUGGUCAAUGGGCGCAAGCCUGAACCAGCCAUGCCGCGUGCAGGAUGACGGCUCUAUGAGUUGUAAACUGCUUUUGUACGAGGGUAAAGUGGGUUACGUGUAACCUUUUGAAAGUAUCGUACGAAUAAGGAUCGGCUAACUCCGUGCCAGCCGCCGCGGUAA
Molecule: ribosomal RNA, 504 nt
Filed under: uncultured bacterium
Lineage: Bacteria
Description: partial 16S ribosomal RNA
Rfam family: Bacterial small subunit ribosomal RNA
Source: RNAcentral